GGAAAUAAAAGUCGUAACAAGGUUUCCGUAGGUGAACCUGCGGAAGGAUCAUUAUUGUAUAACCGAGGUGCGAGGGCUGUCGCUGACCCGAAAGGUCGUGCACGCCCGAGUGCCCUCACACACAUCCAUCUCACCCCUAUGUGCACCACCGCGUGGGUCCCCCUAUGGCUUGUUCGGAGGGGGGCUUACGUUUUCACACAAACUUUGUAUGCAGUGUAGAAUGUAUUUUUUGUUUUUGCGAUCACGCAAUCAAUACAACUUUCAACAACGGAUCUCUUGGCUCUC
This 285-nucleotide unclassified non-coding RNA is filed under the name plant metagenome. RNAcentral's name for it is "partial contains small subunit ribosomal RNA, internal transcribed spacer 1, and 5.8S ribosomal RNA". The stretch from base 1 to 54 matches the Rfam family "Eukaryotic small subunit ribosomal RNA", at positions 1778 to 1831 of the family's 1831-position model. The record is from RNAcentral.